This 253-nucleotide ribosomal RNA is filed under the name uncultured bacterium. RNAcentral describes it as "partial 16S ribosomal RNA". It matches the Rfam family "Bacterial small subunit ribosomal RNA", at positions 524 to 776 of the family's 1533-position model. The record is from RNAcentral.
UACGUAGGGUGCGAGCGUUACUCGGAAUUACUGGGCGUAAAGCGUGCGCAGGCGGUUUUGUAAGCCAGAUGUGAAAGCCCCGGGCUCAACCUGGGAAUGGCAUUUGGGACUGCAAGGCUGGAGUAUGGCAGAGGAGACUAGAAUUCCUGGUGUAGCAGUGAAAUGCGUAGAUAUCAGGAGGAAUACCGAUGGCGAAGGCAGGUCUCUGGGCCAACACUGACGCUCAGGCACGAAAGCGUGGGGAGCAAACAGG